UUCCAGCUCCAAUAGCGUAUAUUAAAGUUGUUGCGGUUAAAAAGCUCGUAGUUGGAUUUCUGUUUGGAAUCGCCGGUCCACGUUUUGCGUGAGUAUCUGGUCGAGUCUAAGCAUCCUCACGAAAGAUAGUUUCGCGCUUAGGUGCGUGAUCUAGAGUUCGUGACUUUUACUUUGAGGAAAUUAGAGUGUUCAUGGCAGGCAUACGCCUUGAAUAUAUUAGCAUGGAAUAAUAAUAUAGGAUUUUGAUUCUAUUUUGUUGGUUUCUAGAGUCAAAAUAAUGAUUAAUAGGGACAAUUGGGGUGAUUUGUACUAAUGCGUCAGAGGUGAAAUUCUUGGAUUGCAUUAUGACAAACUACUGCGAAAGCAUUUCACAAGGAUGUUUUCAUCG
RNAcentral lists this ribosomal RNA (388 nucleotides) under Dinophyceae sp. Its description in RNAcentral is "partial small subunit ribosomal RNA". It matches the Rfam family "Eukaryotic small subunit ribosomal RNA", at positions 583 to 975 of the family's 1831-position model. The record is from RNAcentral. Lineage: Eukaryota; Dinophyceae.